UGGCUGAGGACGAUGACUUGAGUCAGUGACUGCUGAAUGCCCUGUGUUUGGUGUUCUACUUUUCAUGUAAAUAGUAGGGGGAACAGAGGUGGCUUCCAAGCCUGUACCUUGACUGACUCAGGGAUUCUGAACUCUGUGGACUCCAGGAAGAAAGAUUUCAAACUGUUUUUCCUAUUUGGAUACUGACUCCAAGGCCAUAGACCACCACUGUGGCAAAAGUAUAUUCAGCAUUGGUCAGUAAAAGUCAGAGAAAUUGCAAAAAGAUUAUCAAAGAGUUCUAGUGUA
This 285-nucleotide long non-coding RNA is filed under the name Dasypus novemcinctus (nine-banded armadillo). RNAcentral's name for it is "lncRNA (ENSDNOG00000050200.1)". The record is from RNAcentral. Lineage: Eukaryota; Metazoa; Chordata; Mammalia; Cingulata; Dasypodidae.